ACCGGCAGCUCAAGUGGUGGCCAUUAUUAUUGGGCCUAAAGCGUUCGUAGCCGGUUUGAUAAGUCUCUGGUGAAAUCCCGCAGCUUAACUGUGGGACUUGAUGGAGAUAAUAUCAGACUUGAGGUCGGGAGAGGUUAGGGGUACUCCCAGGGUAGGGGUGAAAUCCUAUAAUCCUGGGAGGACUACCUGUGGCGAAGGCGCCUAACUGGACCGAACCUGACGGUGAGUAACGAAAGCCAGUGGCGUGAUCCG
This 252-nucleotide ribosomal RNA is filed under the name uncultured prokaryote. Its description in RNAcentral is "partial 16S rRNA". It matches the Rfam family "Archaeal small subunit ribosomal RNA", at positions 475 to 726 of the family's 1478-position model. The record is from RNAcentral.